AUGACAGGCGCUCAGCUGGUGAAUAAGCCCCGCCUUUGGUAUUUUUACACGCAAACCCCGGAAAUCCUGUUACUUAAAGGGACAGAGGAGGAAUUUAAGGCAAAGGUUGAAACACCGAAAACAGCUGGGAGUGCACGAAAAAGACUGGCACAGAGAGGAAGGGAGCUUCGAAGUCGAUUUUCGGCCCUUAACAUCAGCUACCUAGAAACCGACAACGCAGCAGUCAACACGGCAGACAGAUAGCAGAAAGGCCAAACUCCCAGACUACACGGACGUCACUUCAGACUGCCUGGCUGUGUUUGAUGAUCUGAGUCUAUAUUUUUCGUGAGGUGAGUAGACUUCGAAAUAUUGAAAUUUGGCUGGUUACCUUCCCUUUAAUCUUCUGCAUUGUGUGUACUUUAAAGGUAGGGGUGUGUUGAAGUGAGUUAAGUUACAUCUUUUGCAUUGUGAUCAUGCAUAGAGAUUCCUUAUCACAAUUGUGAGUCUGGCAGAAGAAUGAGCGAAAUCCAGCCUGAGCCAGCUGAUGACCUGACAGUAGCUUGCAUGAGAUAGGGGGCGUUCCCCUGCUUUGUCUGCCUUCCUCACACUUUCUUUAUGUGUGUACAGUCUGCACUGGUUGGGGACAAAGUGCUAGAAUUUCCCAAUGAAAUCCCAAUGCAUAAAUCAAAAUUUAUAGUGUGCGUGGCAUUAAAAUGGUUAUGAGAUUAAAUGGUUAAGAUUUUUUUUUUUUUUUUUUUUUUUUUUUAAUUAUUGUAACUGCACACUGUGCUCCUGGGAUUGUGCAAAUGUGGGCCAGGCAAGAAGGAAGGAUCAACCAGCAGCGGUAUAUCUGUGAGAUUAUGACUGUAGCUCAGCGGGUGGAGUGAUGAUGAACAUUGUACAGCUAAUAGGAGAGGGAAUAUAAGUGAGUGCAGUGGGUGUAUUGUUCCCUUGGAUUGCACUUGGGAGUUGCAUUGCAUCAUGCAUUGAAGAGAGUAUUGAUGAUGGCACAGAACCUUUGUCACAUGCAUAUGCAAAAAAAAAAAAAAAGAAGAAGAGGAAAUAAAUGUAAAAAAUCAAUGAGUCCUAUAUUGCACUGUUAAUAUGCUAGCUGCAGUGCACCAUCUCUCAUUGUCCUGACAAGCAGAGCAUGAAGGCAAUGACAUACACAUUAGGCAUUUGUGUGCAGUCUCACACUGUAUCAUCUAUAUAGCUCACAUGCAUAUGGGAAAACAGCAGCUGUCUUACAUGUAGGUAAACUACAGAUUUUUGCACACACAUGCAGCACACACUGCAGCACCAAAUACAGCUGCGGCUCAUUCUUCUCCUUCUCUUGCUUGUCCAUGCAUUGCUCUGACAGCCACCCCCCACUAUUCUGUCUGGGAGAAAGCAGUGGGCUUUUGUCCUCAGCUGAGUGUGACGUCAUGCAGAUCUUUGCUGUAUCCAGCCCCGAAGGCAAGAUGCAUGUUGUUCAGCAGGCCUGGGUCUGGGCUUGUCCCAUGCUUAAACACCUUUUACUUAAGUUCCCUCAUGCUUAGGGCACACAAGGACAGUAAAAAAACACAAAAUUAAUUCAGUCUAUUCAGGUGAAAUAGAGAAACUUGGAUAAUCCUCUCACAUUCCAAGAAAAGGAAGAGAGGGAGUGAUCAAAUACAAGAAUGGAUAAGUGUAUCAACCUUCUUGCAUGAAAAGAAAAUAGCCAGAGGAAAGCCCCCACCGUGUUGUUGGGGGGUUUUUUCUGCUUCAAAAUAUAUAACAACCAAUACAUUCAGCCAAAUUAAAUGAAAUCAAAUUGCAUGUUUCUGUGCAUACUAAGCAGGCAAGAACAUUGAGUUAAGCAAGAGUAGGAUCAUGAGUAACAGUCUGUUUUCCGAUGGUAGUUUGGAGGGCCACCAGUAUCUAUUUAAGCGAAGGGAAUGAUUGGUUCUGUCUGAAGAGAAUAAAAUAAAGUCCACAAAAACAACAAUACAGACUUUUGCAUACACUCUAUCUUUGAGCAAAUCAAAAAUAACUUUUGUCUUAUGGUGGUUUUCGUCUUUGAUCGCAAUUGUUCUUUAGCGUCUCUACCUGGCAGCAAUUUGAUUGUCUGUGUAAAAGUGGGGGUGGCUAUUAAAAGCUUUGAGCAGAUGAAGGCUUGUUGAUGAAGGCUUGUUGUCAACCCUCCAGUGUGUCUCGGCAGGAUUUGAUGUCAGAGAUUACAGAUGAUUGUGUGGGUUAGAUCGAGUACUCAGCACUGCUCUGGGGCUAUAUUGAUCUCUAGUGUGUAUGUGUGACUGAGUGUGCCCAAGCACGACUGUGCUUUUAUCCUUAUGGGAGCUAAAUUAUGUCUAUUGAAUAACAAUAAACAAAAAAUACUAGGCAUAAAUGGUUAGCUUUAAGAAAAGAGGAAUACAACAAAUAAAUUUAGAUAAUAAGUAUGCACAAGAAUUUGAUGUAACUUUUUGUACUAAACCACAGAAACCAGUGAUCAGCUGACGGGAACAGUGUUUCUCAUGCAGGGAGAUUACACAGUUGGGUCUUUUGAAUGUUUUCUUUUCUGCAGUGCUACUUUGGGAUUCUACUUAAUAUAAUUAAAAAACAAAAAAUCUAUAUGCAAUGGACAAGAUCAAAAACAAGGAUGAAAUCUCUGUGAUCUCAGGUCGUCAGGUAGCACUGCACUGGUGGCACAUAUGACUUUGGAAAUGACUGCAUAGCCUUGGGAAUACUUCUGACAACCACUAUCAGUAUAACAUGAUUCAUCGCUACAUCUGAAGUCAAAAUUCUACCAUGCAAAAGAAAACAAUAAUAAUAAUACAUUUGAUUUAAAAUCACCUUUUAAAUCAAAUGUAAAGACACCCAAGAACACUUAACAAUAGAAUAAAACACAGGAAAAUGUCAAAACAAAGAACAAUAAAAAAAAAUGUGCAUAAACAAGAUUUUCUCUGGGACUGACCUCAUUUAUAAGGGACUGACACAAAGUUUAAAACUAUCCUGUGAUUUUUAUUAACCAAAGUAUUCAUUCUUUUUUAGAAGUCGGUCAUUAUUUUUCCCAAGGCUUAAUAGGAGAGGCCACAGUUCAAAAGCCAGAGUCUGUAACAGUGUAGGAAUCAAUUAGUGCAUAUAGCCUGGGUGAGUUGCACAUCUGUGAAGGUACCAUUAAUGCCAUCCAUAUAUCUCUUUCAGGGAAGGCCUUCAGUAUUGCAUAAAGAUGAUGUACAACCUCACUCAGAAUGAGGAAACAUUUUUGCUUUUAAAUGUACAGCAGCUGGGCUCCUUAUUUCCCAAACACUUACAAAGUGUUGUAAAAAGAAGAAUUAAUGCAGCAGAGUAGAGAAACAUGCCUUUGCCCCAGCUUUGGAAAUAUCCAUACCUGACUUUGUCCAGAGAGCAUGUGUAAAAAGGACUUGGUACACACAUUAACCAAACUUAGCUUCAAUCUUACCAUUAAAGGUCACACAGUCCUCCUAACAGUCUACCAGUAAGAGGAAGUGGUUGGUUCUCUUGCAAUCAUACAGUGUCCCUGUGUUUCUAUUACUGUAGUUUUCAGAAUAAUCGAUGUGGAGGUUAUUGAAGAAAAUGCCAAAGAAUUCCAUGAUCCUUGGAACAAGUUAGCAAUGUUACAAUGGUGGUCAAGGAUAGUCAGAACUGUGACAGCUUUGCAAUAAUGAAGACUCAGGAAUUAUAAACAGGUGAAGUGUAUAUUAAAUGUUGCUCAAGUUGCUCAAACAGCCUAAAAGUGUUCACAUGUUCCAAUUUGCCUUCUUGUCAAUCUAAGAUGUUACUUUUGAUUCCUCUUGUAAAGGGAAGAUACUGCGUAUUAUGCUGGAGUGGCUUGAAUGACAGAUCUAAGGUUUCAUUUACACUGGAAGCAGUUUGCAGUGAUAUGGUAGAGCAAAGUGAAUUACAUUCCACAACUUCAAGUAACUACGAGUGAAAUAACUGCUGGUGAUCAAUAUUAAAAAUAAAUAAAUAAAUAAUCUCAAAUACAUGUAUUUUUGUUAUAUCAAGCUGCUUCAGUGUCUGCUCUAAGUUAAGUAUGUAACAUCUUUUAUAAAUGACAGGCGUAUACACAAUUCUGUGUAUAAGUGUGUUAUAUGGGUUUUAUAUGGGCAUUCUAAAUAACUCUAUGCAAAUAGACAAACCAAAAAUUAUUGUUGCAGUAUGUACAGCUCUAGAAGAAACAUAAUGAUGCAUUCUAAAACUACCUUAAAUAGUUGUCAAUUAACUUCACAAAAAGUCUGUUAAGCAAUAAUGGGAAUUCAAGAUACUCAGUAGGUUUUUCGACACAUGUUGGAGAAUUACACAGUUCAGUUUUUGGCUUAG
This 4281-nucleotide long non-coding RNA is filed under the name Oreochromis niloticus (Nile tilapia). Its description in RNAcentral is "lncRNA (ENSONIG00000042334.1)". Lineage: Eukaryota; Metazoa; Chordata; Actinopteri; Cichliformes; Cichlidae. The record is from RNAcentral.